GCAUGUUGCAAUAGUUUUUUGAAAGGGGUUUCCAACUAUUAAAAUGACUACUACUAAACUCAUAUGUAGUCAUUUAAGUUCAUAAUUACCUGAAAGUCUGAUGAAAACUGCCAUGCCUUUGACUUAUGAGCCAAAUAGUUUAAAUGAAAUUAGAUCAGCAUCAUAAUUUACAAAAUUAAAAUUCUUGUGUAUGUCUUUGGGUCUGAAAUUGUUCAGGCACAUAAAUUGUUGCUAUU
This 236-nucleotide long non-coding RNA is filed under the name Bos taurus (domestic cattle). RNAcentral's name for it is "long non-coding RNA NONBTAT024133". Lineage: Eukaryota; Metazoa; Chordata; Mammalia; Artiodactyla; Bovidae. The record is from RNAcentral.